RNAcentral lists this ribosomal RNA (497 nucleotides) under uncultured bacterium. Its description in RNAcentral is "partial 16S ribosomal RNA". It matches the Rfam family "Bacterial small subunit ribosomal RNA", at positions 28 to 507 of the family's 1533-position model. The record is from RNAcentral.
GAUGAACGCUGGCGGCGUGCCUAAUACAUGCAAGUCGAGCGAAAAGACGAGGAGCUUGCCCCUCUGACGUAAGGGGCGGACGGGUGAGUAAAACGUGGAAAACCUACCUUUAAGAUUGGGAUAAUUUCGGGAAACCGGAGCAAAUACCGGAUAAUUUAUUGAACCGCAUGGUUCAUAGGUGAAAGAGGGUUUUGUUGUCACUAAUGGAUGGAUCCGCGCCGCAUUAGCUAGUUGGUAAGGUAACGGCUUACCAAGGCAACGAUGCGUAGCCGACCUGAGAGGGCGAUCGGCCACACUGGAACUGAGACACGGUCCAGACUCCUACGGGAGGCAGCAGUAGGGAAUCUUCCGCAAUGGGCGAAAGCCUGACGGAGCAACGCCGCGUGAGUGAUGAAGGUCUUCGGAUCGUAAAACUCUGUUAUUAGGGAAGAACAAAUGUGUAAGUAACUAUGCACGUCUUGACGGUACCUAAUCAGAAAGCCACGGCUAACUACGUG